ACUCCUACGGGAGGCAGCAGUGGGGAAUUUUCCGCAAUGGGCGAAAGCCUGACGGAGCAAUACCGCGUGAGGGAGGAAGGCUUUUGGGUCGUAAACCUCUUUUAUUGGGGAAGAAGAACUGACGGUACCCAAUGAAUCAGCAUCGGCUAACUCCGUGCCAGCAGCCGCGGUAAUACGGAGGAUGCAAGCGUUAUCCGGAAUUAUUGGGCGUAAAGCGUCCGCAGGUGGUUUUACAAGUCUGCUGUCAAAGCGUGCGGCUUAACCGCAUAUCGGCAGUGGAAACUGUGAGACUAGAGUUUGGUAGGGGUCACGGGAAUUCCCAGUGUAGCGGUGAAAUGCGUAGAUAUUGGGAAGAACACCAGCGGCGAAAGCGCGUGACUGGGCCUGAA
This 389-nucleotide ribosomal RNA is filed under the name Leptolyngbya sp. Nb3F2. RNAcentral's name for it is "bacterial SSU rRNA". It matches the Rfam family "Bacterial small subunit ribosomal RNA", at positions 335 to 739 of the family's 1533-position model. Lineage: Bacteria; Bacillati; Cyanobacteriota; Cyanophyceae; Leptolyngbyales; Leptolyngbyaceae. The record is from RNAcentral.